RNAcentral lists this ribosomal RNA (844 nucleotides) under Pseudomonas sp. RNAcentral describes it as "bacterial SSU rRNA". It matches the Rfam family "Bacterial small subunit ribosomal RNA", at positions 94 to 934 of the family's 1533-position model. The record is from RNAcentral. Lineage: Bacteria; Pseudomonadati; Pseudomonadota; Gammaproteobacteria; Pseudomonadales; Pseudomonadaceae.
AGCGGCGGACGGGUGAGUAAUGCCUAGGAAUCUGCCUGGUAGUGGGGGAUAACGUCCGGAAACGGACGCUAAUACCGCAUACGUCCUACGGGAGAAAGCAGGGGACCUUCGGGCCUUGCGCUAUCAGAUGAGCCUAGGUCGGAUUAGCUAGUUGGUGAGGUAAUGGCUCACCAAGGCGACGAUCCGUAACUGGUCUGAGAGGAUGAUCAGUCACACUGGAACUGAGACACGGUCCAGACUCCUACGGGAGGCAGCAGUGGGGAAUAUUGGACAAUGGGCGAAAGCCUGAUCCAGCCAUGCCGCGUGUGUGAAGAAGGUCUUCGGAUUGUAAAGCACUUUAAGUUGGGAGGAAGGGUUGUAGAUUAAUACUCUGCAAUUUUGACGUUACCGACAGAAUAAGCACCGGCUAACUCUGUGCCAGCAGCCGCGGUAAUACAGAGGGUGCAAGCGUUAAUCGGAAUUACUGGGCGUAAAGCGCGCGUAGGUGGUUUGUUAAGUUGGAUGUGAAAGCCCCGGGCUCAACCUGGGAACUGCAUUCAAAACUGACAAGCUAGAGUAUGGUAGAGGGUGGUGGAAUUUCCUGUGUAGCGGUGAAAUGCGUAGAUAUAGGAAGGAACACCAGUGGCGAAGGCGACCACCUGGACUGAUACUGACACUGAGGUGCGAAAGCGUGGGGAGCAAACAGGAUUAGAUACCCUGGUAGUCCACGCCGUAAACGAUGUCAACUAGCCGUUGGGGACCUUGAGUCUUUAGUGGCGCAGCUAACGCAUUAAGUUGACCGCCUGGGGAGUACGGCCGCAAGGUUAAAACUCAAAUGAAUUGACGGGGGCCCGCACAAGCGGUG